CCAACGGCCCUCUUUAGGGCCACAAUUUGAUAAGUUCAUACUUUGU
Oesophagostomum dentatum (nodular worm) is the source of this 46-nucleotide non-coding RNA. Lineage: Eukaryota; Metazoa; Nematoda; Chromadorea; Rhabditida; Strongylidae. The record is from Rfam.